This is a long non-coding RNA of Oncorhynchus tshawytscha (Chinook salmon), 1434 nucleotides long. RefSeq lists it as uncharacterized. Lineage: Eukaryota; Metazoa; Chordata; Actinopteri; Salmoniformes; Salmonidae. The transcript is spliced from 3 exons. The record is from RefSeq and is a predicted model, not a curated record.
GGAAAAUGUAUAUGUGAACUUUUAUUUCAGCUCAUGAAACAUGGGACCAACACAUUACAUGUUGCGUUCAUAUUUUUGUUCAGUAUACAUUGUCAGUCAUAGGCUUCACUGGGAAAUGUGUUGUUGUUGUACUCACAAUCUGGCCAUACCCCAACCAAAAACCCUGGAUGAACAGAGAUAUUUGUACCAUGCUGAGAGCCCGUACUGCAGCAUUCAAUGUCAGCAGAACAAACUCUGAUGACUCGGUGAUGCGUGACAGAUACAAGGCAAGCAGGUACGAACUCCCCAAAUCCAUUAGGGAUGCAAAAAGACAAUACAGACACAAACUUGAAUUGACAGUCGACAACUCAAGACUUGCGAUGCAUGUGGCAAGGACUACAGACUAUUACGGACUACAAAGGCAAAUCCAGCUGUGUGGCCCACCAAAGUGUCCCUCCCAGAUGAUCUUAACAUAUUCUAUGCUUGCUUCGAAGCAGACAAUAUCGAACCAUCCAGGAAGACUCUCGCUGCUACGGACGACCAGGUGCUUUCGUUCUCCGAGGCUGAAGUGAGGGAAAACUCUUAAAAGAGUGAAUACUCACAAAGCUGCCAGCCCAGAUGGCAUCCCUGGCCGUGUCCUCAGUGUAUGCUGACCAGCUGAUGGGCUUCUUUUUUGACUUCUUAAACAUGUCACUGUCCCAGGCCAUAGUCCCCGCCUGCUUCAAGGAGACCACCAUCGUCCCAGUGUCCAAGAAAAACAAGAUGAUGUGUCCAAAUGACUAUCACCCCGUCAUACUCAUCCCAGUCAUCAUGAAGUGUCAAAAGAGGCUGGUCAUGGCCCACAUCAAGGCCAGCAUGCCAGCAGUCUCUGUAUCGCAACACAUGUUCUAUGGGGAUCACCAGUCUUUGUCUGUUUGGUACAAAUACAACAUGUAGCACCUCAGAGCCCAACUGCUAGAGCGGACAAGCAGUGUUCAACAUCAGUAGCAUCAAGCACAAGGGCUGCCUGGUCACACAUUUCUGCAACACCACAUCCACUUCUUCCAUAUUCCUGGGAGUCGGCUACAUCGUCUCAUAGACCUGCUCCAGCACCAAUCUGCAACGGGGUUGGCUCCGUACAACUACCUCUCACAGUGGCCCUUGGUGCAGCCCUGGUGGCCAUCUGGAGCACCUUAGCCUAGACAAACCAUUCACAAUAAGGAUACCUCCUCCAUAGGUUUCCAUGUGUUGUUAUAGUUCUUAAAUACAUAAAAUGUACUAAAACAAGUAAUAUUCUGAAAAAGACAGCAAGUUUUAUGCAGGCUAGUUUCACUAAGCUUUAGUUCUGCUUUAGUUCUGUGUAUUCCGGGUUUCCAAGCUGGUUACGGGUGCACCUCAGCCACGCUCAAGGUACUAAACGAUAUAACCGCCAUCGAUAAAAGACAGUACUAUGUCUUCAUCGACCUGGCCAAGGCU